Oncorhynchus gorbuscha (pink salmon) is the source of this 763-nucleotide long non-coding RNA. RefSeq lists it as uncharacterized. The record is from RefSeq and is a predicted model, not a curated record. The transcript is spliced from 4 exons. NCBI's taxonomy places the organism in Eukaryota, Metazoa, Chordata, Actinopteri, Salmoniformes, Salmonidae.
AUGAGAUUAAAGACCUCCUCGUUGCACAGAGAAGGUCUAACAGACAGACCGUGUUUGACACAGCAGCUCCUUCUGCCUUCCUCUCCAAAAAGCCCUCCUGUGGGGCUGCAGUCUGCUCAGUCCUUGGACCUAGAUUCACCACACCAAAGCUACUGGUAACUAACCGUUCUGUGACUACACUAUUACAGUCCAACAGAACGUCACUCAUUAUAAACAGCCUCUAGAAAUGUAAACACAAUUCAACCCGUGUAAUCCCACUCGGCCUAGAAUAUCAUAAUCCCAGUCAAUGUAAAGGGGCAGUAUGUAUUUCCUGUCGCCUCCUCAUGCCACUGGCCACCAGUCACACUACUUGGCGCUGUUGGAUACCCAAGACCCUGCCUCCCUGCUGCUGUGGGUCAUCAGCCUCCUGAAGAGAGAGGAUAAAUCAUGGUUUGAUUGAAAAAGUGAAAAACAGCCACAUCCAUCCAUAGAAUGAAGGUGGAGCAACAGUGAAUCAGAGAGGAAGAGAGCGGCAGGUGCAACCAUCCCUUGGUUCUGCUGAUCCCACCAAGUUCCACUACUGUGAAGAACUGUGUUCACUAUUCAUCUGAAAAAGUUUGCUCAAUUGUUUGAAUUGAUGUUUAUAUAUAAAAAAAUAAGUGAAUAAAUAUUUCUAAAUCCCAAAACAUAACUAUUAUACGGUGUGGUUAUACAGUGGGGAGAACAAGUAUUUGAUUACGCUGCCGAUUUUCCUACUUACAAAGCAUGUAGGUACACUUCAACU